This 492-nucleotide ribosomal RNA is filed under the name uncultured bacterium. Its description in RNAcentral is "partial 16S ribosomal RNA". It matches the Rfam family "Bacterial small subunit ribosomal RNA", at positions 29 to 507 of the family's 1533-position model. The record is from RNAcentral.
AGUGAACGCUGGCGGUAGGCCUAACACAUGCAAGUCGAACGGCAGCACAGUAAGAGCUUGCUCUUACGGGUGGCGAGUGGCGGACGGGUGAGGAAUACAUCGGAAUCUACUUUUUCGUGGGGGAUAACGUAGGGAAACGUACGCUAAUACCGCAUACGACCUACGGGUGAAAGCAGGGGAUCUUCGGACCUUGCGCGAUUGAAUGAGCCGAUGUCGGAUUAGCUAGUUGGCGGGGUAAAGGCCCACCAAGGCGACGAUCCGUAGCUGGUCUGAGAGGAUGAUCAGCCACACUGGAACUGAGACACGGACCAGACUCCUACGGGAGGCAGCAGUGGGGAAUAUUGGACAAUGGGCGCAAGCCUGAUCCAGCCAUACCGCGUGGGUGAAGAAGGCCUUCGGGUUGUAAAGCCCUUUUGUUGGGAAAGAAAAGCAGCAGGUUAAUACCCCGCUGUUCUGACGGUACCCAAAGAAUAAGCACCGGCUAACUUCGUG